Molecule: transfer RNA, 69 nt
Filed under: Alosa alosa (allis shad)
Lineage: Eukaryota; Metazoa; Chordata; Actinopteri; Clupeiformes; Clupeidae
Description: tRNA-OTHER
Source: RNAcentral
UCCUAGUUAGUAUAGUGGUGAGUAUCCCGCCUGUCACGGAGGAGACGGGUUCGAUUCCCGGACGGGGGA